GAGAAGUUUUAUUCUUGCUUUGUCAUUCAUUUUUUGUUUGUUUUAUAUGUAAGUUUGUGCGUGAUUUUUCCUUUGUUCUAAAUGGUUAUGGGGUUUUAUGGAAGGUGUUAUUCUCAUUAGUUGUUAUUGGUUGGUCAAGUAUCUUUGUAAUUAGCAAUUUAUUUUAGUUUCGGUUAAAUUUUGUGCCAGCAGCCGCGGUUAUACCUUGGAGGCGUUUGAAUGUGUUCGGCAUUUUGUGUAGUUGUAUGAUUUAUUUUAGUUGAUUUUAUUUUUAUGGUUUGUAGGUGAAAUUUUUAUUGUUGUUUAUUAUCUUUUGUUUAUUUGGAGGCUAUGAAAUCUUUUUUGUAGACUAGGAUUAGAUACCCUAUUAUUUUUGGACGUUAAUAUUGUUGUGUCUGAGUAGUAUUAGUUAUGUUCUUGAAACUUAAAGAAUUUGGCGGUAUCUUAUUCCAUCCAGAGGAAUCUGUCUCGUUAUCGAUAGUCCGCGUUGGACCUUACUUGGUUGUUAUUGGUUUGUAUACCGCCGUUUAUUGAUUAUCUUUUGUAGAGUUGUUUUUAAUUUUCUGGUUUCUUUAUUUUGAUUUAUUUCAGGUCAAGGUGCAGCUUGUUUCUAAGUGGAUGAUGGAUUACAUUGUUAUUUGUUUUGCUUGGAUUGUUGGUUUUAAUAUUGACAUGAAAUUGGAUUUGGUUGUAAUGUUUUGUAGAUUGUUUUCAUGAUAAUUGGUUCUGGGAUAUGUACACAUCGCCCGUCGCUCUCGUUUGUUUUAAUGAGAUAAGUCGUAACAAAGUGGUUGUACCGGAAGGUGCGGCUGGGAUUGA
Molecule: non-coding RNA, 819 nt
Filed under: Ateuchotermes sp. C TB-2017
Lineage: Eukaryota; Metazoa; Arthropoda; Insecta; Blattodea; Termitidae
Source: RNAcentral